UUAGAGUGUAUACUGUGAGAGGCCUAACUCAACCCCAAAAGCUAACUCAAGGGAUGAGGGUUGCCCCUUAUUUAUAUAUUCUAA
Molecule: microRNA precursor, 84 nt
Filed under: Glycine max (soybean)
Lineage: Eukaryota; Viridiplantae; Streptophyta; Magnoliopsida; Fabales; Fabaceae
Description: miR4379 stem-loop (gma-MIR4379)
Source: miRBase by way of RNAcentral